GUGUGAGCAGUAACCAGGAGGGAACGGCUGCAUGGGGAGGAACCUUGGAGUGGUGGCCCUGCACCAGCUGUUCCUCACACAUCUUUCUUCUGUCUUUUCACUUCAGGCAGACAUACAUGAGAGGGACUGGACUGGACUGGACUGAGACUCUUGGCCUCAAAGACAGAGUAGCUCGGAGACUCCCAGGCUGAGCUGUUGAACAAAUGGGCUCUAGGCUCAUCCACCUCAGCAGACCUGAGAGUCCUCAGUAGUCUGUGAGAGCACAAAGGGACUCCGAGACCAAACGUUUGAAAAAUCACUGUUGUACAGCAUGAGAUCUAGAAGCAAAGAAGCCAGAAGAAUAGACCAUGCAGCUGCAUCACUCUCCAGGUGAAAGGGCCCCACAGCUGCCAUCAUGAAUGCCAUGGACUUCUCAGCGAGAGAUCCUAUACUUUCGUUCUGCACUUGGCUCUACAAAUUAUAUAGCAGCUGUGACAACAGUAACAGGUGAAAGGAUUAAAUUAUGAUUAAUUCAUCAACUGCUUCCAACUGAA
This is a long non-coding RNA of Odocoileus virginianus texanus, 533 nucleotides long. RefSeq lists it as uncharacterized. The record is from RefSeq and is a predicted model, not a curated record. Lineage: Eukaryota; Metazoa; Chordata; Mammalia; Artiodactyla; Cervidae.